AGUCUUUGAAAGUAGUGAUAUCGGUCGUUAAAACUAGAUAAAAGAGCGCCGUAUAUAUUUAUUUUUGCUAUUCUAACAAAUUCUUUUAUCAUUUGGCUAACUUUCUUUUAGUACUUUUUUUUUUUGUUUAAUUACAAUCUCCUACUCGUGGAAACCCCAUUCCUUCUCUUCCAAAUCAGAAUUUGUCUGCGAGCCCUAAUCUCCAAUACCGCUUGCAUCUUGGUCAUGCGAAAUCGGGUGAUCAGUCUACCUCUCGAUUCUUGUAUGUGAUAUAAUUACAUUAUGAAACUAGACAACACCGAGGGUUUCAAAUUGGUCAUCAACAAAACGCCCAUGUCUCUCACACCACAGGUAACAAUUCACUUUUCCAGAUAAAGAAUUUUUGAACACCGGAGCUUGUCGAUGAAGAAAGUGUGAAGCAAGUAUAAGCAACAGAACAUGCUAAAGAAUAAGUUGGAGUCGAAGAAAUUUUUUCCUAGGAGGCUUUUAGAGAUGUUCCAUUGCAUAUGCUACACAUAUUCUUCUUUCUUAAGAGUUGACAAAUACAAUGUCAUAUUCUGUACAUUUUUGGUAAUAUGAUGAUUAGUUCUGUUUAAUAACGAUGAACUUUUAUAUGGA
This is a long non-coding RNA of Lycium ferocissimum, 618 nucleotides long. RefSeq lists it as uncharacterized. Lineage: Eukaryota; Viridiplantae; Streptophyta; Magnoliopsida; Solanales; Solanaceae. The record is from RefSeq and is a predicted model, not a curated record. The transcript has 2 exons.